This 414-nucleotide ribosomal RNA is filed under the name uncultured bacterium. RNAcentral describes it as "bacterial SSU rRNA". It matches the Rfam family "Bacterial small subunit ribosomal RNA", at positions 958 to 1392 of the family's 1533-position model. The record is from RNAcentral.
AACGCGAAGAACCUUACCUACUCUUGACAUCCAGAGAAGCCAGCGGAGACGCAGGUGUGCCUUCGGGAGCUCUGAGACAGGUGCUGCAUGGCUGUCGUCAGCUCGUGUUGUGAGAUGUUGGGUUAAGUCCCGCAACGAGCGCAACCCUUAUCCUUGUUUGCCAGCGAGUAAUGUCGGGAACUCCAGGGAAACUGCCCGUGAUAAGCGGGAGGAAGGUGUGGAUGACGUCAAGUCCUCAUGGCCCUUACGGGUUGGGCUACACACGUGCUACAAUGGCAGUGACAAUGGGUUAAUCCCCAAAAACUGUCUCAGUUCGGAUUGGGGUCUGCAACUCGACCCCAUGAAGUCGGAAUCGCUAGUAAUCGCGUAACAGCAUGACGCGGUGAAUACGUUCCCGGGGUCUUGUACACACCG